AGUGAACGCUGGCGGUAGGCCUAACACAUGCAAGUCGAACGGCAGCACAGUAAGAGCUUGCUCUUACGGGUGGCGAGUGGCGGACGGGUGAGGAAUACAUCGGAAUCUACUUUUUCGUGGAGGAUAACGUAGGGAAACUUACGCUAAUACCGCAUACGACCUACGGGUGAAAGCAGGGGAUCUUCGGACCUUGCGCGAUUGAAUGAGCCGAUGUCGGAUUAGCUAGUUGGCGGGGUAAAGGCCCACCAAGGCGACGAUCCGUAGCUGGUCUGAGAGGAUGAUCAGCCACACUGGAACUGAGACACGGUCCAGACUCCUACGGGAGGCAGCAGUGGGGAAUAUUGGACAAUGGGCGCAAGCCUGAUCCAGCCAUACCGCGUGGGUGAAGAAGGCCUUCGGGUUGUAAAGCCCUUUUGUUGGGAAAGAAAAGCAGCAGGUUAAUACCCCGCUGUCCUGACGGUACCCAAAGAAUAAGCACCGGCUAACUUCGUG
Molecule: ribosomal RNA, 492 nt
Filed under: uncultured bacterium
Lineage: Bacteria
Description: partial 16S ribosomal RNA
Rfam family: Bacterial small subunit ribosomal RNA
Source: RNAcentral